GACAGAGGAGCCUGGCGGGCUACGGUCCAGAGGGUCACAAAGAGUCAGACACCACUGAGCACAAUGAGCAUGUUUAAUUACAAACCAGACUUAGUUAGACAGGAACGGGCUGUGGCAGGAAAGAUAGCACCUGCGUUGCAAGGAGUAGGGGCCUAGAGGCCUCUUCUGGGCUGGAUCUCACCCAAGUAGUUGCUGAAGCAGGGGGAGAUGUUCAGGGAAGACUGGGUUAGGAAGCUGGGGCAGGAGCUAUUUAUCAACUGGUCUGGAGGCAUUUCAAUAUUUUAACCACCAGUACUGCUGGAUUGUCUUGCUGUCCACAGGGAAGGACAGCUCAGAUUAGAGGAUGUCUCUUAGUGCUGCCUAGAAUGGGGGCAAGGAAGUCUUCCUGGAAGAGGUGAGAACUGAAGGACCAGGCAGAGGGGAGAAGGCUGUUCUGGGGAGAGAACAACAUGCGCAAAGACUCAGUGAGCAGCCACCAAAUCCAGUUAAUAAACAGAAAGAAGAAAGGAAAGAAAGCAGAAAGGAGAGAAGGAAGCUGCAUAAACGGAGGCUCAGAGGGGCUACGGAGCACAUUCAAGGUCACAAGCUAGGAGGAGGUAAAGCGAGGAGAGGCAUCCAGUCUGGCUGCAGGAAGGAAGGAGCAACCAAGCACAAGCCUGGAACAGAAAAUCACUCAAGAGCCGGUUGACUGGAAAACCAGAGGGACUGAAGUAGCGUGGGGGACCCCCUCUGUCCAGUGCCGAUCUCCCACCAAAUAACCAUGGAACUGUUCAGAGGUCAGUCAAGCACCCCCAGGGAAGAUCCCUUUCACAGAUCUCUGGGGUACCAGACUCCAAAGCCACCCAUACUCACUCUCCCUAACAAGGAGCAAGGGGACCCCAACAUGUUGAGGGUGGGCUGAUGGACACAAUUUCAGCACCAAAUACUGCUGGUGCUCAGCUCUUUUGCAACACCUAGAUGAAAAUUACCUGUCCUUCUUUUUUUAAGAUUUUAUUAAUACAUUAAUAUUGGAUGUUACCAUCACUAUAAGGGUUUUGUUAUCACAAUGCCAUUCAGUACAUGUGAGGGCUUACUGUGUGCCAGGCACCAGGCAAAACAACUUACCCAGGUUACAGCCUUGAACAUUCACAGCAGCCCUAGGAAGCAUGUAGGAUUUAUGAUCCUCACCUUUUAGAGAUGGAAAGUUCCAAGGAUCACCUGCCCAAAGCGAUACAACAUGUGAGCCCCCAGAUACAGCCCCAGGCAACCAGAAGAUAUUUUCAGAAAAGGUCUACUUGUAGUACCAACCCCAGCUGCUUCCCCAAGAUCAGAAUGUCCAUCACAUUCUCCACUUGGCCCCAGUCCUAGGAGCACUGAGAUCCAAACCUGGCCUGCAUCUUGAGAAAACAGAGAACUGCCCCCCAACAGACCCUCCAAGGUCUCCCUUAAGGCUGCUCACAAGCAGGCCACAACACCCCUCACCUGGAGGGCUAAUCCAUCUCCUCUCUUGGGGUUUCGAGGCCGAGGCUGUUUAUUUCGCUUCAUCCUGUCCUGGCACUUGGUGCAGCACUGAAUACAAGAUGGCUUAAUAAGGCAACCAAGGCCCCUGGGGCCUCAACACCUGAGCAGAGCACCAGCAGGAUUGGCUUGCUAAUUGCCAAUGUCUCACCAUGGUGACUUGCACCCGGGCUGUUCUAGCCUAAGCUAAGUCACUUCAGUUGUGUCUGAC
This is a long non-coding RNA of Odocoileus virginianus texanus, 1708 nucleotides long. RefSeq lists it as uncharacterized. The record is from RefSeq and is a predicted model, not a curated record. Lineage: Eukaryota; Metazoa; Chordata; Mammalia; Artiodactyla; Cervidae.